AUCUAAUCCCCGAUCUAAACCUCAGUAUUUUGUUAUUGCCUUCAUCUGAUACUUUAAUUCUGCACGUCUGUACCACUUCCCCCACUUGCUCUCAUAAAUCCAAGGUAACCGAUUGUAGUAGUGACUAUAAAUGUGUUCCUUUCCAGCGAUGAAUAGCCACAAUCCAACGAAAUCCGAAAGGCCAAUCUUUGUUCAGAAUCAACUCCAACUAUGGCGACGUCGUAAACUGUCCUUGCCGAUGUACAAACACCGCAGUUGUCCGUCUGAAAUAUGAUGCGAAGAGCACUAAGAAGCUUUGUGUUUUUAUGCUUGAUUUCGGAGUUGCAAGUGACCAACAAUUCUGUAAAAGCUAUUACUCUUAAAGUUGAUGGAUGUGUGACUUUGAAACCGAAUUAAGAUCAAGAAUGAUUAGUGUUCGUACUGAAGUCCUUUCUAUUCAUUUAAUGGGCUUGCCAACGUUUGUUCUCUAUGAGAAUGAGAUAAUAUCAUAUAGUUCCUGUUUGAUGUUUUCAGGCAGUGAAGACGGAAUACCUAUUCUGUUCAGCUUGGUUUGAGGUAAAAAAAAAUAUAAAUUUAUGAAUGAUCUCUAUGUUGAAGUCUUAGACAGUUGAAUUUAUGUGUUGUACUAACGGGUCUUUCUUCUUCCUCGACAUCCAUAAGCCAAUGAAGAAUACUUGGGAAGGAUCCAAAGAAAACAGGUUAAGAAUCAGUAGUGUAUCUUAUUAUAAUGAGAUUAAAUUUUUACUUUAUAUUGACAUGAAAAAAGAGUCGACAUGUAGAGGAAAGAAAGACGAACAGAACAUAGGAUUUUCAAAUAUCCUCUUCUUUCGUUGUUCUUCUCAUGGUUUGUUAUCUUGAUCAUAAAUCACAGAAAGUUCACAUUUUCAAAAAUUAUUUGCUCUUAUUUUUAAUGGGGUUGAAAUUUAUUUACGGUUCUGCUUAGGAAUGAUCCGAGUUUUGAUUGUAUUCAUGAUUAUCUUGUCCUUUGUGACUGAUUAUCUUGCUCUGUAUAAAGACAGACUUUUAGGUAAUAUAUGUGCAGUCACAACAGCGAAUAAGGCACAGACCGCACUGGAGUUGCUGAGGGAUAACAGGAACAAGUUUGAUCUCGUGAUCAGCGAUCUUGAAAUGGACUUAACUGUCAUUAGUAUGACCUAUUAAGUUUCUGUUUGAUUAUUUUCAUGUUUCCAAGAUAGAAUGUUUUGAUCUCUUUUUAUAAUGUUUUGAUCUUUUUAAUUAUAUCUUGCACUGUUACUUGCGCAUAGCGAUCUAAUGUAUGUGAUGGUUGCCUGCGACUAUCUCCUUAAACCAGUUCGAAUUGAGGAGCUCAAGAACAGAUGGCAACAUGUGGUGAGGAAAAUUAAGUUAAGAAGAUGAAGAGCAUUUUGUAAAGAUCAUCUUGAAGUGGAAGAAGACGAAAGAGGAAAUGAAAACGAUGACACGACAGCUCACAAAAACCUCGUGUAAUUUGGACGCUAGAGCUGCACAACAAGUUCCUAGCUCGUCUUCUAACAACACAAGACGGGAACACAAUGAACACCAACUGGUUUCAGAAUGCUUAGGUUACGUAGCGCCUGAGCUAGAGUUUCAGAACUAAAGGGUCAACGAGAAAUGCGAUGUUUACGGGUUUGGAGUUCUGAUACUCGAACUCCUGACUGGUCGGAGACUCAUGGAGUAUGGUGAAGACAGCUUUGUGAUACUAAGCGAUCAUGUUCGAGUUUUGUUAGAACAAGGGAAUGUGUUGGAGUGUAUUGAUCCUAUAAUGGAGGAAGAAUACUCUGAGGAUGAGGUUUUGCCUUUUCUGAAACUUUCUCUUGUCUGUACUUCUCAGAUUCCUUCAAAUUUGCCUACAAUGGCAGAGAUUGUUCAGAUCUUGCAGGCCAUCAGUUCUCCUGUUCCUCACCGUCACCGGAUGCUCGAUAGUUUUUCAAAAAGCUCUGUGUUAAUUUGAAUUUCUAUUAUGCAAUAUUUUCUUUCUUUUUAUUUAUUUUUUUUUACUUUUUUUGUAGAGAUUGCCUUCUUUCACAAUGGUAUGUUCUAUCUUUCUCGCUAUGUCAAUCAUGAAUCAAAUUGACGAUCAUUGACCAUUGUUAUCAUUAAUAGGCUUUUUCUUGAGAAUUUUUCAUGUUUUUGUAAGUUAGCAAAUAAUACAAACGAACAAUAAUUACUGACACUGGAAAAACUAACUUUGUUUCAUAUCUACAUGGCAUUUUAUUGUCUGCUUCAUCAUCUUGCACAAGUGUGCGUACAUAUUAAUAUGCUUUCACCUACUUACACUAUAACUAUUUACAGAACCACUCUGUUUCUCAUAUUUACAACUUCAUUUGGGUAUAUACUACACCGACAUCAAGAAUUCAUAGCCGACGAUAACACAUACCGCCACACUUCAUCUGGUUUUCAAAGCACUGAUGAGUUCUCCGUUUUUUUUGUACUAUUUGAUACAUCCGAUAUAUGAGCUUUAACCUGUAACCGCGACAUUCAAGAAUCCAAUUAUAUUAUUGCAUACGCAAUCACACUCCUCCUUCUUCAUUUUUAAAGCAAUCUAAGAGUCUAAACUAAAAUUUAAAGCGAUACUUUUGAUGAUCCUAUAGGUUCACAAAUUCUGAAGAUCGUAAUCAAAAACGUGUUUGUUAGCUUACCCCUACGGAGUUCUGUUGCAUGAAGCGCAUAUGUUGAAAGAUGCACUACACAUGCUUUUUUUAAAGGAGAUGCGCUACACAUGCACAAACGUAAUCCAUAAUUAAAAAAAAACAUACAACACGGUAAACACAAUUACCAAACAAAACAUAAAAUCACUCUCCUCAACUGCACAAGCACACAAAUCAAAACAAACAAAUGCAGUUCCUUUUAUAUAC
Molecule: long non-coding RNA, 2855 nt
Organism: Brassica rapa (field mustard)
Lineage: Eukaryota; Viridiplantae; Streptophyta; Magnoliopsida; Brassicales; Brassicaceae
Source: RefSeq, a predicted model, not a curated record